UUUUUAGCUGAUAUUGGAAUAUUAAUUAUCAGUCAUUGUUAAGGAUGUUAUCUUCGAUAGUUGCUGUUUUAUCUCACAGACCUGCUGCUGUUCCUAUUUCAUCAGCAAGGGACUUGGCAUGCUGAAGAUAUUCACUAACAGAUGAGUCAUUCUUCUUUAAUUCUUGUAGUUCUAUGUUUGAAUAUAGUUGGCGAUUUUGAGAAACAUAUCCAAAUGCGUUAAAGCUUGUCAGACUUGGAAUGCGGUGGUUAAAGCAAUGAUAUAUGGAAAGAUUUCUUCAGUUAAGGAGGACAAGAAGCAUUGAGUUACGCUGAAACCAUGUUUGAUAUUCGGGAUUCUGAGCCUCUUGUGGUGGUGGAAGUGAUUGUUUUCGGUGGGGCGUGUGUUGUUCCAUCAAUGAAACUAUUAAGAUUUUUAGUAAUUGAGGAGAAGGAUGAUCAAUUGAGUUUUCCAAGCCAAAAAAUUCUUUGUGCUAAAUUUGAUAGAGUAGGCAUGAGUUGCUGAGAUUGAAGGAGAAGAAGGGAGAGCAGGUGGGUGGCCAUGAUUAAUUAAGCGUUUGAAGAAGAAGAGUUAAGGUGAUACUACUCAUGGCUCUGAUACCAUGUGAAGAUUAUUGGCCGAAAGAUGUUACCGUAUACAUUCUUUUAAGAGUACAAAUGAAGUUACAUAGUGC
Molecule: unclassified non-coding RNA, 673 nt
Filed under: Hevea brasiliensis (rubber tree)
Lineage: Eukaryota; Viridiplantae; Streptophyta; Magnoliopsida; Malpighiales; Euphorbiaceae
Source: RNAcentral